GCCGCGUGUGUGAAGAAGGCCUUCGGGUUGUAAAGCACUUUCAGUUGUGAGGAAAGGUUGGUAGUUAAUACCUGCCAGCUGUGACGUUAACAACAGAAGAAGCACCGGCUAACUCCGUGCCAGCAGCCGCGGUAAUACGGAGGGUGCGAGCGUUAAUCGGAAUUACUGGGCGUAAAGCGCACGCAGGCGGUUUGUUAAGCUAGAUGUGAAAGCCCCGGGCUCAACCUGGGAUGGUCAUUUAGAACUGGCAGACUAGAGUCUUGGAGAGGGGAGUGGAAUUCCAGGUGUAGCGGUGAAAUGCGUAGAUAUCUGGAGGAACAUCAGUGGCGAAGGCGGCUCCCUGGCCAAAGACUGACGCUCAUGUGCGAAAGUGUGGGUAGCGAACAGGAUUAGAUACCCUGGUAGUCCACACCGUAAACGCUGUCUACUAGCUGUUUGUGAAUUUAAUUCGUGAGUAGCGAAGCUAACGCGCUAAGUAGACCGCCUGGGGAGUACGGCCGCAAGGUUAAAACUCAAAUGAAUUGACGGGGGCCCGCACAAGCGGUGGAGCAUGUGGUUUAAUUCGAUGCAACGCGAAGAACCUUACCUACACUUGACAUGCAGAGAACUUUCCAGAGAUGGAUUGGUGCCUUCGGGAACUCUGACACAGGUGCUGCAUGGCUGUCGUCAGCUCGUGUCGUGAGAUGUUGGGUUAAGUCCCGCAACGAGCGCAACCCUUGUCCUUAGUUGCCAGCAUUAAGUUGGGCACUCUAAGGAGACUGCCGGUGACAAACCGGAGGAAGGUGGGG
This 788-nucleotide ribosomal RNA is filed under the name Fluctibacter halophilus. RNAcentral's name for it is "bacterial SSU rRNA". It matches the Rfam family "Bacterial small subunit ribosomal RNA", at positions 396 to 1178 of the family's 1533-position model. The record is from RNAcentral. Lineage: Bacteria; Pseudomonadati; Pseudomonadota; Gammaproteobacteria; Alteromonadales; Alteromonadaceae.